Molecule: long non-coding RNA, 607 nt
Filed under: Salvia miltiorrhiza (redroot sage)
Lineage: Eukaryota; Viridiplantae; Streptophyta; Magnoliopsida; Lamiales; Lamiaceae
Description: long non-coding RNA (SMIL_LNC006937)
Source: RNAcentral
CUUCAGCUCUUCAUUCUCUUUUUGCAAAUCAAGAUUAAUCCUCUCUCCUCUUUUGGAUGGUGGCUUCAAUCCAUCUCCACAUCCUCGAAGUCCGCUCGAUUUUUCCUCACCAAGAACCUUGACAAAAGCUUCAUCUUCUUGACAAAAGCUUGCAACUUCAUAAGCUCAUCAUGAACAAUUAAAUUAUAUUAGUAUUUAUAAUUUCCAUAAAUACAUAUACACACAAUAAUUAACUACUCACUUACAUAAACUUCCUUUGAGGCCUCAUCGAUCCAGUUCUUUUUCGUGUUACUAUAACGGCUCAAUCUCCAUGUAGUUGUGCGACUAGGCUCCUCUCCAGUUUCAUUGUCACGCUAAUAUAUAAGUUAGUUAAUAUGACAAGUAUUUCAAAGCAUUUAAAAUAUAAAAGUAUGUAAAUUAAGGUACCUCUUCGUAGCAAAACUGUGCAAUAGAUUUUGUUCUUGGGGAUUAAUGUAAAUUAAGGUACCUCUUCGUAGCAAAACUGUGCAAUAGAUUUUCAUCCGUUCCAUCCACUCCUCUUCAAAGGACUCACAUCAGGCAGAACCUCAGCAAAUUGUUUAAUGCCAUAUACCAUAAGCUUUAAGCU